UACAGAGGUCCCAAGCGUUGUUCGGAUUUACUGGGCGUAAAGGGUGCGUAGGCGGUCGGGUAAGUCUGGUGUGAAAUCUUCGAGCUUAACUCGGAAACUGCAUUGGAUACUAUUCGGCUAGAGAGUUGGAGGGGGGGUUGGAAUACUUGGUGUAGCAGUGAAAUGCGUAGAUAUCAAGUGGAACACCAGUGGCGAAGGCGAAUCCCUGGACAACUUCUGACGCUGAGGCACGAAAGCUAGGGGAGCAAACAGG
This 253-nucleotide ribosomal RNA is filed under the name uncultured bacterium. Its description in RNAcentral is "partial 16S ribosomal RNA". It matches the Rfam family "Bacterial small subunit ribosomal RNA", at positions 524 to 776 of the family's 1533-position model. The record is from RNAcentral.